UAGGGAAUCUUCGGCAAUGGACGAAAGUCUGACCGAGCAACGCCGCGUGAGUGAAGAAGGUUUUCGGAUCGUAAAACUCUGUUGUUAGAGAAGAACAAGGACGUUAGUAACUGAACGUCCCCUGACGGUAUCUAACCAGAAAGCCACGGCUAACUACGUGCCAGCAGCCGCGGUAAUACGUAGGUGGCAAGCGUUGUCCGGUUUUAUUGGGCGUAAAGCGAGCGCAGGCGGUUUCUUAAGUGUGAUGUGAAAGCCCCCGGCUCAACCGGGGAGGGUAAGUGGAAGCGGGGGGACUUGAGUGCAGAAGAGGAGAGUGUAAUUCCAUGUGUAGCGGUGAAAUGCGUAGAUAUAUGGAGGAACACCAGUGGCGAGGGCGGCUCUCUGGUCUGUAACUGACGCUGAGGCUCGAAAGCGUGGGGAGCAAACAGG
Molecule: ribosomal RNA, 429 nt
Filed under: Gemmatimonadota bacterium
Lineage: Bacteria; Pseudomonadati; Gemmatimonadota
Description: Gemmatimonadetes bacterium partial 16S ribosomal RNA
Rfam family: Bacterial small subunit ribosomal RNA
Source: RNAcentral